GAUGAAGAACGUAGCGAAAUGCGAUACGUAAUGUGAAUUGCAGAUCUCAGUGAAUCAUCGAAUCUUUGAACGCACAUUGCGCCCGCUAGUAUUCUGGCGGGCAUGCCUGUUCGAGCGUCAUUUCAACCAUCAAGCCCUGUGCUUGUGUUGGAGCCCUGCGGCUGCCGCAGGCUCCCAAACCCAGUGGCGGGCUCGUCGUCGUACCGAGUGCAGUAAACAUACCACGCUCAGGGCACGCGACGGGUGACCGGCCGUAAAACCCCCCCCCUUCUCAAGGUUGACCUCGGAUCAGGUAAGAAUACCCGCUGAACUUAAGCAUAUCAAUAAGCGGAGGA
RNAcentral lists this unclassified non-coding RNA (335 nucleotides) under soil metagenome. RNAcentral describes it as "partial contains 5.8S ribosomal RNA, internal transcribed spacer 2, and large subunit ribosomal RNA". The stretch from base 1 to 120 matches the Rfam family "5.8S ribosomal RNA", at positions 35 to 154 of the family's 154-position model. The record is from RNAcentral.